This 2270-nucleotide long non-coding RNA is filed under the name Homo sapiens (human). Its description in RNAcentral is "non-protein coding lnc-A1BG-1:1". Lineage: Eukaryota; Metazoa; Chordata; Mammalia; Primates; Hominidae. The record is from RNAcentral.
AGGCUGGUGGGGGCGGUGUUGCUCGGGGCUGCGAUGCCCCUUAGGUUGCGGGCAACCAGAGGCCUCACUCGUGGGCAGGAAGCAAGGGCGGACCCCGAGAGAUGACUGAUUGUGGGGGUGGGGACCGUCUGCUCCUCCUAAUGGCUGGGGACCGUGCACGUCUGCGCGGGCCGGACCUGCUCUUCUCGGGAACUUGCGCGGGAGGAGGCCCGGAGCUGCGCCGCUUUACCCUCUGCUCCCCGGUGCCUAAAACGCACACGCAUCAAAGUCACAGGACGAGUUAGAGGAGAAAGGCAGAGGGAGAUUUGAAACACAGAGGAGGUGAUGAGAAGACACAGCAGAAGAUAUCUGAAGACUGGAAAGAAUGCUGCAACCAACAGGAGAAGGAAAAGACAGAAAUGUGUUUUCCAUUUGGAGCAUCCAGAGGGAGCACAACCAUAUCAACACCUUGAUUUUGAUCCAGUGACAUUGAUUUUGGACUUGUGGCCUCCAGAACUUUUAGAGAAUAAAUUUGCAUUGUUUUAAGCCAACAGGUUGGUGGAAAUUUUUUACAGCAGCCACAGGAAGCAAACACAGACUCCUAACUGGUGCUUAGUCCUAGAAUAUCAGUUUCUGUUCCACUUCUGGAUCUCAUAAUUGCAUCUCAGACAUCAACACUGACUUCAUAUUCUUAAUGCACCAAUUCUACCAUUUCUUCAGGCUGCAAACAGAGAAAAACUUAUUUAAGCAUUCCAGAAUUGACCCAAUAGAAGACUCUCCAGAAAAGACUGCAUGGUCUCUGAAGCAGCAUGAUCAGCAUGACUGGCUGCAUCUGGGCUCCACCGUUUGCCACUUCAGACAGGUCCUUAGCCUCUUAGAGGUUCAUUUUCCUUGCUGUAGCCCGGAGUAAGAAUGUUUAGCCUACAAGAUUUAUUUUGAGGCAUCAAUGAAUCACUAUGUGAGCCUCACACAGUGUCUGGCACUGAUAUUACAAAAUAUGGUUGAUCUUGCCAUCCUUGUUAUUGUCCUGGUGGGGAUUCCUCUCUGUUGAAGAUACGGAGCCUCUAAAAAUGAGUGGCAGAGGCUCCCAGCUCAGGAUCCUUGUCCAGGUCCUAAAGAUCCUCCACUCUGCUUGUCACUCUGUUCAUUAUGUUUGCAUGGCCACCACGGUCAACACUACUGCGGCCUACCUCAAGUUCUCAUGCCUCACUCUCUGAGCUCAUGAGGACACAAGGAUCCUUUGGCAACACAUUAACUACACUCUGUGGCCAUCCCUUGACUUCUGAGAGGAUGUUUCCCUCCUCUCAAUCAAAAGCUCUCUUCCCUCCUGGGCAAGAUCCUUGCAUGCACCCAGCACCCUCACACCUGGUGCCCUCACACCCAGCACUCUCACACGUGGUGCCCUCACACCCAGCACCCUCACACCCAGCACCCUCACACCUGGUGCCCUCACACCCAGCACCCUCACACCUGGUGCCCUCACACCCAGCACCCUCACACCUGGUGCCCUCGCACCCAGCACCCUCACACCUGGUGCCCUCGCACCCAGCACCCUCACACCUGGUGCCCUCGCAACCAGCACCUUCAGAGGAAGAAAUAACAGAGGCUGCAGGCGAGAGAGUUACAAGGAAGGAGGAGCAGGAAGACACGAGAAAAAUUCAGAUAAACUCAACAUCUCCAGCCUGGGGGAAACGUGAGAGGGUGGUAUGAAGAUACACACGAUGCAUGUUGCUUAGUGAAAGCAGCCAGUCGGAAAAGGCUACGUAGUGAAUGACCCCAACUAUGACAUUCUGAAAAAGGCAAAACUAUGGAGACAGGAUAAAGAUCAGUGGUUGCCAGUGAGGCAGGAGAAUAGGGUCUGGGGGCAGGGAGCCUAAGGCUGAUUCAUGCUGACUUCAUGAACGGAAUCAAAAGGAAAACCCUAAAUUUCCAUGCCCACGUAACAAAAGGAUCAGAGGCUACUCCCUUUGCAACUCCCCCCAACUUUCUGUGUUGCAGAUGAAAAAUGGAAAGUGCCUCGGAUUGGUCCCCUCCUGCAACCAGUCAGACAUCUGCAUAGAGCGUAACUUUGUAACUUCACUUCAGCCUCUGCUUGGUCACCUUCCACAACCAAUCAGACUGGUCAUGGGCCACUAUUUCAUAGGGUGUAAACCAAGUGACCAAUGGGAAACAUCUAGAGGGUAUUUAAACCCCAGAAAAUUCUGCGACCAGUGCUUUUGAGCCUUGCUUGGGCCUGCUCCCACUCUGUGAAGUGCAUUUUUGUUUCAAUACAGCUAUGCUUUUGUUGCUUC